This is a long non-coding RNA of Hypanus sabinus (Atlantic stingray), 507 nucleotides long. RefSeq lists it as uncharacterized. The record is from RefSeq and is a predicted model, not a curated record. The transcript has 2 exons. NCBI's taxonomy places the organism in Eukaryota, Metazoa, Chordata, Chondrichthyes, Myliobatiformes, Dasyatidae.
CACAAGUGGCUGGAGGUCCGUACAGUGAUACAAGUGGCCGGAGGUCUGCACAUCGCCACCAGUAGCCGGAGGCCGGAGGGACAACGGAGAGAGAACCACAAAACAAAGAAAGAGUAUGAGAGUUGUUCGGAGAGAAAAAUCAAACUCCCACCUCAUCCCCCGCAUAAAAAAUAACGGCAUCCAAUCAUUAACCCCUAAAAUCCGCCCCUCCCGCACAAAAGGGCACAAUGACAUCGACCCCUGAUAAAAAUACCAACCUUACCCCGCACAACUGCGGAGGAGUUGGUGUCACCAGUGUAGAGGCGGCCACAUCGGGAGCAGCGGACACAACGGACGACCCUGGAAGAUUGACAGGUGAAGUGUCGCCUCGCCUGGAAGGAUGUUUGGACAACGGAGAGAGUUCGGCCGACUGGCCCUUUCACUAUGACACCCCAAACUCCACAUCAAAUUUGUCCAAACAAAUCUGGCCAGACUUUAAUGACCAAUAAAUAUAAUUCCUCUCAGCGA